Molecule: ribosomal RNA, 554 nt
Filed under: Colletotrichum karsti
Lineage: Eukaryota; Fungi; Ascomycota; Sordariomycetes; Glomerellales; Glomerellaceae
Description: eukaryotic LSU rRNA
Rfam family: 5.8S ribosomal RNA (bases 202-355)
Source: RNAcentral
GGGAUCAUUACUGAGUUACCGCUCUAUAACCCUUUGUGAACAUACCUACAACUGUUGCUUCGGCGGGUAGGCCGUCCCCUGAAAAGGACGCCUCCCGGCCCGGACCGGACCCCCCGCGGGACCGGACCCGGCGCCCGCCGGAGGAUAACCAAACUCUAUUGUAACGACGUUUCUUCUGAGUGGCAUAAGCAAAAUAAUCAAAACUUUUAACAACGGAUCUCUUGGUUCUGGCAUCGAUGAAGAACGCAGCGAAAUGCGAUAAGUAAUGUGAAUUGCAGAAUUCAGUGAAUCAUCGAAUCUUUGAACGCACAUUGCGCCCGCCAGCAUUCUGGCGGGCAUGCCUGUUCGAGCGUCAUUUCAACCCUCAAGCUCUGCUUGGUGUUGGGGCUCUACGGUCGACGUAGGCCCUCAAAGGUAGUGGCGGACCCUCCCGGAGCCUCCUUUGCGUAGUAACAUUUCGUCUCGCACUGGGAUCCGGAGGGACUCUUGCCGUAAAACCCCCCAAUUUUCCAAAGGUUGACCUCGGAUCAGGUAGGAAUACCCGCUGAACUUAA